UGUCCACCAGUGCACCUCAGGAGUAUCUCUA
Molecule: non-coding RNA, 31 nt
Filed under: Mus musculus (house mouse)
Lineage: Eukaryota; Metazoa; Chordata; Mammalia; Rodentia; Muridae
Source: RNAcentral